Equus caballus (horse) is the source of this 1034-nucleotide long non-coding RNA. RefSeq lists it as uncharacterized. NCBI's taxonomy places the organism in Eukaryota, Metazoa, Chordata, Mammalia, Perissodactyla, Equidae. The record is from RefSeq and is a predicted model, not a curated record.
GAGCCAUCCAGGCCUGCUAUAUAAUAAGCAGGCUUCCUGAAAAACAGUCCUUUCUGGCAGUAAAACUAAAUCUUUUAAUCUUGGAAACUCUCCUAUGGACCAGGUGCAGAAAAGCAUGCAAAUUUUAAAAAUGUUACUUUCAUUUUUUAUCCCUUCACUGUGAGCAAGGCAGCAAGAAAGGCAUGCUCUCUGUUGUCUUGCGUAUGAAUAUGAAAAUAUCCUCUAUGUGCCAAGUACAUCUCUGAUGUCUGGGUCCAAAUAUCCUGCUCACCUCAGCCUUCCCUUUGGACUGUAAGUUCCUUGAAGCAACAACUGCAGUGGACAGCUGAUGUCUUGGCCUACUGAGUGUCUACUUCCUCUUCUUCUGGAAAUAGCACCUUAGUUACUCGAGAGAACUUUCUCUCCCACUUUGCAUUCAGGCUAAGUAGCAUCCCAAUUAAGAUAUUCCACUCUAUUCUACCUGGAGGAGGUCACAGGGUUCAAAUCAGGCUACCCAGACUCUCUCUCUCUGUUCUGAGAAUUUUAGUUUUGAGCAGUCUCUCUAGAAUGGAAACGGAAACCCUUGAUUCCUCUCAAGGGAGUUUUCUGAAGAGAAGGCAGGAAAUCCCGCUGCCUGCCUUCAAGCUGCCUGCUUCCCGUCCUUUAUGAAGCCUGGUUGGGUAGCUCUACCUUAGAUUCUGUGAGCUGCCCUGUAUUUUUCCAAUAAAUCUCUUUCUUUUGUCCCAGUUGGCCAAAAUUUGUUGUUGUUUCCUGACGAAAUGUCCUGAUAUAGGCUCCAUCUUCUAGCGCCCAUUUAUAUGUCAUGAUGGCUUGCAGCAUGUUGAAAGCAUAGUGAAGGUUGUUGCCUACAGUUCAGAAAGUUCUAGAAUUCAAAGGGAUAUCACGGAUGUGAAUUAAACCAAAUUAUAUUCUUCCUUAUACCACUUCAUUUCUCCCAAGAGUUGUAGAAAUUUGUGAAUUUAAAAUGGAGAGUUAGGGGCCAACGCCACAGCCGAGUGGUUAAGUUUGCGCACUCCACUUCAGCGGCCCAGGGU